GGCGAACGGGCAAGCAGAAGUAACUAACAGAGCGAUACUUCGCGUAUUGAAAGAUCGCUUAGCUCGAAUCAAUGGAUUGCGGGUGGACGAACUACCUAGUGUCCUUUGGGCUUACUGAACUACUAUUAAGACCGCGACGGGUGAGACCCCUUUCAACCUCACGUACGGUACAUAAGCGGUGAUCCUAGCGAAAAUAGAGGUGUCGACAUUACGAUUGGAGGCUUAUGAUGAGGAAACGAACGAUGACAAACUCCGUACCAACCUAGACCUGGUAGAGGAGGUAUGAGACCUGGCUUACAUUCAGACCGCAACUUACCAACAAAGAGUAGGUCGGUACUAUAAUGCCUGGGUCAGAAAACAACACUCCGCAUCGGCAACCUGAUUCUUCGGAAGGUUAUGGUACCUGAGCCCGGUGUUGGUAAACUCAAACCGAAUUGGGAAGGUCCAUACCGAGUUGUACUCCUCAACAGCCUUAACCUUGGCCUCCUCCAUCGCCUGAAGCAGUAGUUCGGUUCGUUCCUUCACAUGGGCCUCGAGAUUCUUGACCUCCCUCUUCAAUGUUGUUUCACGCUCUUCGUGCUCCAUCUUCUCUGACAUCAGCAGAGUUAGUAGCUCCUUCUUAGCUCGCGCGUCAUUCUUCGGUUGGUUGAUUUCGUUGCGAGCUAAGUUUAGUUCGGCGUGGGCAUUUCGGGAAGACUCCUCGGCUUCAAGAGCCUGCUUCAGGUUCACCUCGGACUGAUAAGCCAAGGCGUGGAUGGAGGAGUUCACCUGCCAAGAGAAGAAAACAAGUAUAAGUAUACAAAAAAUCUAAGUAUGAGACAAUUUGAAAGACAAGUUCAAGAACGUACCACCAUAUAGUGUGUAGCCGCUCGGGCCCCGAGUUGAGCAACUAGCAAGUCGGCCCAACGAGCAACCUCCUCGGUGAACACCACAUCCUUGCUCUUGAGAAGGCCAAACUUUGGAGUCAAAAUGCUCCAAACUGGAGCAUCACUACUUGAAGAAGUGGCAGUCGCUAGGACGGACUCUGAAGGAGUAGCCUCCUCGGGCAUGCGGUGUGGGGUGGGCUUGCCCGAGUCCUCCUCGGCCAAAUCGAUUACGGGAGACUGCUCGACAAUUGGUGAGUGCUCGGGCUCAGGAAUGACAACCUCAGUUGUAGCUGCUUCACUCUCGACGUGAGCCUUUUUGGAGGCUCUCUUCUUUUUCUUCCCCUUCUUCAUACUCUCGAAGAGCUCAUUGGUAGGGAUGUCGUCCAUGGCAGCUGCGAUGAAAAUGAGCUAAGUCAAAUACAAUACCAAAGUAAAACGAAUAGAAAAAAGUACAACAAAUAGUGACCAACCAAGAGGACUUAGGUCGUCCUGCACGAGCUUCUCCUUGGUCACGAAGUUUUUGAACUUUAGGCCGAGCUCCGCCCAAGAUCGGACCUCCUCCAUUGUCUUCAGGUCUAGUCUAACGCCGGGGUCUUGGAUGGAUGCCCUCCAAUGAGUCGGGAAGGUCCACCCCUCGGUGUUACGGACCACGAAGUAAUGCCUCUUCCAGGCUGGGACCUUAUUAUGGAGCUCGUGCAACAGUUUGUAUCUAGGACGAGGUGACAAGUAGUAAGUUCACUUGUGCUCAGGCAGAACACAGGACAAUUUUUUCUUAAUAGAAAGGAUCGAAUAAAAGACGUCGAGGUCAAGGGGACGAUUGUAAUCAUGGAAAAGAGUAAUGGUCCCUACAAUAUUACGGAUAGAGUUCGGGUGUAGCUGGUCUAUGGUAAUGUUAAAGAAUUUAACGAUUUCGAUUAUAAGAGGGUGAAGUGGAAGACGCAGACCGACUACCAGCUGCUCCUCGAAGAUCAUGACCUCGUUGUGAUCAUAAUCCCAAGGAAAGUUGCCUAAGGGGAUGCUAUAUACAAGGUCAUUAGGGAGUCUGUACCGGGAUACUAAAGUUAGGAGCUUGUCCGCCGUCAUUAUCGAUGGGCCGAAGUUGUCUGGCAGCCGACCUCGGUGUGAGGUGGAGGCCGAGUUACCAAAGGCCUCUCGCUCUCGCCGAGGUGAGUUCACCACGAGCGGACUGAGGACCGUGUCUUGUCCCGAAGUGACCACCUCGGUGAGGUACCCACAUCGGCCCCAGUGGACUUGCCGCUCCUAUCUAAAAGAUUAUCUAAGCUAAGGCUAGACAUGCUAAAGGAAAGGACAACGGAAUCAAAAGGAAAAAGCAAAGGAAGGUGGACUUACCAAAAGGAAGACCGAAGAAAAGAAGGCGACCUUGGACCCAAAAAAGGCUGAUACCAAAUUAGAAGAUUUGAGCGCAACCUAAAAAUUUGCGGAUUUGCGGACUUGUGGCGAGGAAAAUGGGCCCUUGGCCCCUAUUUAUAACCAGUAUAUCCGGGAAUCAACGAUCAAGAUCAACAUGAUCCGACGACUCCUAAGGAAACCGGUUGCACGCCCCUCGAGGUUUAAAUUGAUUUAGCGCGUGUUUUGACGUCCGCGGAGUUUAUAAACAGUGUGACGUCCGCGCGUAGUUGAGACGCAACUUGGGUCAUUUCAUGGUUGAGCCAGGUGGUUGAACAGGCCCGACCAACGGUUCGCCCUUCAAGUUGUCUAGACUUCGUGCCAAAUCCACAUGGACUCGCCAUGAACUCCCUGUACCGGGUUAGGACCCCUGGCACGAGGAGUGGGGGGCAAUUGAUGAAGGGUGAUUUGGCACAACCUAGCAAGAAGGAGACACGUAGGCGUGAUCUGAUCGAGGGGUGACAACUCAGCCAAGCAAAUCCAGUUCGCAACAUUCGGAGCUCGGGUAUUCAACCACCUCGGCCCAAAAAACCACCUCGGUGUAGAGGCAUCUCGACACCCAAUCCAAUUUGGGACUAAAGAAUCGAAGUGGCAGUUUGGGUUAGAGAGCCAAAACAUCAAAUGAUCGACUCCAAAGGCCUCCCCAACGGGCCCCAAAUUUCUCGGGAUCACAAUAAGACUCGCUCCACUUGAAUCGGAGAUAAAACGAUAAACCUUAUGAACAUACUACUCUCCUUCAAAGGGGUGCUUUCCCCUUUCGCAAGGCAAAACGGUAUCUUACUGUAGAUUCCCACGUGCUCACACUACAUACGUACGAAGUCUUUCAAUUGCAUUAUCCGGCCACCGCAUGUGCAACACGUAUCCUCCUUUUCUUUGUUUUCCACGCAUUCUUGCUCUCAUCCUCUCUCCCCUUCUCGUUCUUGCUCUCUCGCUCACAGAAACAUAAACCUCUCUCUCCUGCUCUCAUCCCGCUGUUAAUAGUUGCAGUGGCGACGUUUCUUUUAAUUUUUCCCGUUAGUCUCUCUAUUUCUAUCUCUAUUUCUAUCACUCUCUCUUGCUCUCUCUUUCGUUCCCUUCCCCCUUCUUCCUCUUGCAUUUUCUCUCCUGUUCAUCGUCUCUUUCGACGGUAGCGGAGGAGAUCGCAACGGCGAAGGAGUGAUCGCCGGAGUGGCGGCGUCUCAAUCCACGGGAGUUGUCAUCUUUCGAAUGCCGGAAACCUGAGGCCAAAGCCGCACCUCCUCUGUUCAUCGACGUUGUCAGACCAAGAUCUUGUAGCUUCACCGUUCAGACGAGGAAACCGGCGCAACUGCCGAGAAGGUGCUCCCGGGUAGAAGAACCUAAUCUGGGAGUUCAGUUUACUCCUAUGGAUUGUUAGAUCGCCAUCGAAGCAGGUCAUCCUCUCUUUCUGCAAAUUACCUCGGAAUGAAACAGACUUCUGAUUCACCUGCUUUGCAGCGUCGAUCAUCCUUCUCUUUGUGUGUAGUUUGUUUUUUCUUUCUACUUUUUUUCUUGUUUCAUUUCUCAUAUGUUUCUGCUGUUAAGGAUCUGGGAUCUGAGUGGGGGAUUUUUGAGUUGGUUGAGUACUUUGUUGACCGAAGAGGACUGUGAGGGAUAGGGAAGGGAAUGAAAGAAAGUACUGCCACAAAUCGUUCAGCAAUUUUAACAUAUUCUUUGAAUGAUCUUGGUUAAAAUUGAUGAUUGAUCAAAACAAUUCUUUUUUGCCUGGCAGUAUUUUGUGGACAUGGACGAUACUGUUCCCCAAAAGGCAGUUGUUGUUUUAAUGUUUGGUCCAUUUUCCUUAGCUCAUUCUAUUUACUUGUUAUUUAUCGGAGAACGAAUCUUCUGGAUUAUAGGUUUAUGGUCUUACUAUGAACCUUGUUCAAGGGCACACGGUGCCUCAAAAGGUUUGUUUUUGACAAAUUAGAAAUAGUAGGUGAGACCAUUUUUCAAAUGCUUAAACACCCAUUACGAUGGUUUACUGUAUCAUCUGUUGGUUCACAAGACUAGUCCAAGAGGGAUCCAUUUUAGACGCGUUGGACCACGUCAAAAGGUUUAUUUUGAGUCUGAUGAAAUGCAUGCAUGUAUUGUAACGUGCGGUGGUCUAUGCCCUGGGCUUAACACAGUUAACAGGAUCCUUGGGAUAGAGAAUGAAUGCUAAUUGAAAAGCUGGCUUCACUCGAGGCACCCUAUAGAGACCAUGCUGUUCCCUCCAACGGGACAUUGAAGGUGACUUUAGCAACUGUAAGAUGAGGAACAAUAGCCAUUCUUCAAGUGAAGGGGUCAAACACAUCUCACCAUUAUAGGGAGCUCUUUAAAGAACGUUUUCAGGUAAGCAAUCUUCAUCACUGUGCAAGUGGCUAAAAUGUUAGAAAGUUGUUUAUGACAUAAACCACAUUAGUCAUGUCAGGUUAAGAGAGUUUAUGGGACUAUAGUUUUGGUGGAUUGGUCAGGUGCAGGAGCCUGAAUGGCUACCCUGUUAGAAUUUGGGAAAUUGUCUCUUGAACUACAAAAAGUGUCAUGAGAAAUUGGAGCAAAAACCAAAUCUUAUUACAUACACAUUUUAUUUAAAAAUUAUAGGCUUACUUUUCUGUGUGGUUUGUUGAGUCAUUAACUCAUUUAAUUUCUUUUCUCACCAUAUACAUCCACUGCUUCCAUAGAGCUUUGAUGUUCAAAUAAUUACUCAGACUUGUAUAAUAAAUGUUCCCCUACAUUAGCUUUUUCAAAUUUCAAAGUAGUUUUGUUUUAUUUCCACAUUUAAAUGAAUGAAAUUAUCUUUCGUUCUUUUCAUUUUAAAGGUUUUAGAAGCAUUUCUCUCAUAUAUAGAUUUUCCUGUUUUUGGUUCUUAUCCUAGAGACAAAUAAUGUGUCACAUGUACAAAAUGUUCAAAUGAAUGGUGCUGGCCCAAAAUUUUACUUUAGGUUUCCUUAUGUUACAAAUGUAUUUCCCUUGACCUAAUCUGUUGCUGAACUCAUUUUUAAUUAUCGGGUAAUGCACAGGAGAAGGCAAUCUCGGACACACUUUGUAACGGUUAGCAUUGAAACACCCAUUGCAGUUUGGACUUGUAGCAAACCAGAUUCCUCAAUUAUGGCAUCCAUGUUUAUGGUUUUUGUUAUAAGCUGCAUAUUUCCUUUGAUGGGGAGGACUAAUUUGUCCACCCCCACCCUAGAGGAACUGCUCCCUUCCUCCCUGUAAUAAAACAAGAACAGAGAUGAUUGUUCACAUUUUGUAAUACUACAAAUUGCUCAGAAAGGAAUUACCAAAAAAACAAAAAAGAAUUGCGCAGAAGGGGAUGGUUUAUGAGAUUUUGCUCACUCCAUAGACAAAAUAAAAUAAGGCUUGGUGUUAGCAAAGAGAGGUUGUAUAUGUUUUAUUUUUUAAAAUUUUAAUUUUUUAUUCUAAUGAAAACUAUUUAUUAGGGUUUUCUUCUCAAUUUUGUUUGUUAUUCUCUAUUCUAAGCUCUAUUUUUUGGUGGUUUCCUUCUCUUUGGAAUGCAUACUCAUUCUCCUCUUUUCUCUUCUCAGAUUUAUUAGUUGUUUUUUGUUAUGGGUUCUGUUUUUUUUUCUUCUCUUUUCGUUGCUUGGCAGGUGUUGUUUGCGCUUCUUCUCCGAUGGUAGUUUCCUCUGUUCAUGGAGGUUGUAGUGGCUUCGUUCUUUGGUGGAGAUACUUUGUGUUUAGUGCAUGGUUAGGGUUUUCAGUUCGUCUGUUAGUUGUUCUAUUAUUGGCAAUAUGGUUAUUGUGGUUCAUGGUGUUGAUGGUGACAUGUAGAGAGAGAGAGAGAGAGAGAGAGAGAGAGAGAGAACCAAGGUCAUGAAAGCAUGGACUCUCAUGAGUAUGGGAACAUCACUGGAUAGAGUUUCUUCUGCUCUUCGUUCUUCUCUGAAUUGGCAAUAUAGCACCAAAGAGAGAUUCAAGGCUAUGAAGUAGGAUUAUCUCCAACUUCCAGUUUAGGGAUAUGCAGUAAGAUUUUUGAAAUAUAAUAACUCCCUCAACCAUUCGUUCCAAGCUGAAGCACCAGUGACUCCUGAUAGGAUAUCUGAUUUGGAUAUUCAGGAAAUGUUAUAGGAAGAUCAGUUUUCAGAAGUAUGAGACAAGGAAAAUGUUUUCCAUACAGUUCCUCCUAGUGCAGUGGAGAACUACAGAAAAUUUGUUGAAUCUUACUAGGCUCAAUAUGAGAUUCAUAAUAAGGGAGGUGAAGCAUUUGGUUAUGCAAGUAAGAAUGGAUUUUGUCCAAGUGCAGAUAUCAACAAGUAGCUUUGCUGAUACAUUGAGUUGACAAGGAGUGCAGAGAAAGCAAUUUUUUUUGGCAAUAGAAGUUGUUGAUUUGGACCAACAGACUAAGAUAGUGGCAGAGCUUGAUGGUCAUGUCAUGCGUUGUGUCCGUGACCAGAAUGGAAAUCAUGUUAUACAGAAAUGCAUUGAAUGCAUACAUCAAGAUGCUAUUCAGUUUAUUGUCUCACCAUUCUAUGACCAAGUUGUGACACUGUCUACUCAUCCAUAUGGCUGUUGUGUCAUACAGGAUGACGAAGGAAGUGUGGAAAGUUCCCCCUCAAGAAUCAACAGGUUCUUCUCUGAAGUUGCAGUGAAUAGGAAUUUUUUGCCUCCCCAACAAGAUAAUCCUUUUUGUUAAGCAAAAACUGAUGGUAGUUUCUGUAAAAAUGGGUCCAGUGGUUAUUGUUUUUGGUUAACAGAUGGGCUUAAAUCUUUUUUGUUGGCCAGCUGUGGUGGAUGUAAAUCUGUUUCAGCCGAAUGUUAUGAACUAUCAGCUAUACUGAACUAUUGCUUAGCUGCAAAAAAUUUGGGUUGUAAUGCUAUUAGUAUAAAAUGUGACACUGUAAAUUUAGUUAAUGUGCUGAAUCAGAAAUCUUUCGAUUGUUCC
Non-coding RNA from Nelumbo nucifera (sacred lotus), 7149 nucleotides. NCBI's taxonomy places the organism in Eukaryota, Viridiplantae, Streptophyta, Magnoliopsida, Proteales, Nelumbonaceae. The record is from RefSeq and is a predicted model, not a curated record.